Molecule: long non-coding RNA, 1161 nt
Filed under: Oncorhynchus mykiss (rainbow trout)
Lineage: Eukaryota; Metazoa; Chordata; Actinopteri; Salmoniformes; Salmonidae
Description: lncRNA (ENSOMYG00000059543.1)
Source: RNAcentral
AUGUGUGUCCUGUCUCCUGCUGUUCCCUUCUGUCCCCUGCUGUCCCUUCCUGUCCUGUCCCCUCCUGUCCUCUCCCUUGCUGUCCCUUCCUUUCCUGUCCCCUCCUGUCCUCUCCCUUGCUGUCCCUUCCUUUCCUGUCCCCUCCUGUCAUCUCCCUUGCUGUCCCUUCCUUUCCUGUCCCCUCUUGUCCCCUCCUGUCCUCUCCCUUGCUGUCCUGUCCCCUCCUAUCCCCUCCUGUCCUCUCCCUUGCUGUCCCUUCCUUUCCUGUCCCCUCCUGUCCUCUCCCUUGCUGUCUCCCUCCUGUCCUGUCUCCCUCCUGUCUCCCUCCUGUCCUCUCCCUUGCUGUCCCUUCCUUUCCUGUCCCCUCCUGUCCUCUCCCUUGCUGUCUCCCUCCUGUCCUGUCUCCCUCCUGUCUCUCUCCUGUCCUGUCCCCUCCCCUUAUGUCUCCAUCCUGUCCUCUCCCUUGCUGUCCCUUCCUUUCCUGUCCCCUCCUGUCCUCUCCCUUGCUGUCCCUUCCUUUCCUGUCCCCUCCUGUCAUCUCCCUUGCUGUCCCUUCCUUUCCUGUCCCCUCUUGUCCCCUCCUGUCCUCUCCCUUGCUGUCCUGUCCCCUCCUAUCCCCUCCUGUCCUCUCCCUUGCUGUCCCUUCCUUUCCUGUCCCCUCCUGUCCUCUCCCUUGCUGUCUCCCUCCUGUCCUGUCUCCCUCCUGUCUCCCUCCUGUCCUCUCCCUUGCUGUCCCUUCCUUUCCUGUCCCCUCCUGUCCUCUCCCUUGCUGUCUCCCUCCUGUCCUGUCUCCCUCCUGUCUCUCUCCUGUCCUGUCCCCUCCCCUUAUGUCUCCAUCCUGUCCUCUCCCUUGCUGUCCCUUCCUUUCCUGUCCCCUCCUGUCCUCUCCCUUGCUGUCUCCCUCCAGUCCUGUCCCCUCCUAUCUCCCUCCUGUCUCGCUCCCCUUCUGUCCCCUCCUAUCUCCUUCCUGUACUGUCCCCUCCUAUCCUGUCUCCUUCCUGUCUCCCUCCUAUUCCCCUCCUCUCCUGUCCCUUUCGCCUCCCCUCAGCCCAGCCCUCAGUAAGCACAUCUGUCAGCGCUGUCAGGCUCACCCUCUCACUGCAGUCCUGCGGUCCUGCUCACCUCGGUGAACAUUCAACGCUGUCGGUGAGUUUGGUAUGA